RNAcentral lists this long non-coding RNA (267 nucleotides) under Salvia miltiorrhiza (redroot sage). Its description in RNAcentral is "long non-coding RNA (SMIL_LNC009332)". Lineage: Eukaryota; Viridiplantae; Streptophyta; Magnoliopsida; Lamiales; Lamiaceae. The record is from RNAcentral.
CCGCUGCUCCGCCUCGCACCACCACCGCCGGCCAUUGCUCCCUGCCCGUCUCGCACCACCAGGUCCACCACCGUUGGAGAAAACAUAGAGAGGUGAAUUGAAACUUUGAAUUUGUUAAUUUUUUUUGGGGAAUGUGUUCUUGGAAUGAGUUUUUUGAAGAAGACGAUGGGUCGGCAGAAUUUGUAUGUUUUUGUAUAUGUUUUUGGGAAUUUGUUGAUGCAAUUCAAAACAUAGUUGGAAUUUAUUUAGUGGGAAGAAUUAAUGGAA